AAUACGAGAACGCCAUUCAGAACCUGUAAAGUAGCUACUAAAAUGUAAAUAGCUGAAUAACUGGAAGAUUAAAGCAAAACCAAUGGAAAUUGGACUGGGCAGAAUAAAUUUCAAGAAAUCUACUUAUGUGCAGAUUAUAGAAAAGCCCAUGGGGUUGAUGGAAGCUUAAAUGUGAAUUACUUUAUCUACCAUCACUAUAACAGCCCUCUCUACAUGCGCUAAUGCCACAUCCAAU
Molecule: unclassified non-coding RNA, 235 nt
Filed under: Hevea brasiliensis (rubber tree)
Lineage: Eukaryota; Viridiplantae; Streptophyta; Magnoliopsida; Malpighiales; Euphorbiaceae
Source: RNAcentral